GGCCCCUUCAAGGAAACCUGUAAACAACUUGUCACUCACUGCCGCUCCGCGCAGCGCCGCGAGCCGCCCUGGCAGCGCACCCGGAGUUGCCUCCGCUCCAAACUCCAUCAGACGACCCCGCCGUGCGCCGGGGGAAAGCUGGACAACAUUAAAGGCCUUUAAAGCCCACGAGGCUCUGACCCCACAGCGGUGGGAUGAGGUCCACUUCCAGCCCCCCCUCCGCCCUCACCUCCUGGCGGCGUGCAGAACGCAACUUGGCUGCACCAGUGCAUGGGCACAUCCACACGGAGCAGCCACGAAGCGCUCGAUAUUGUCAUGCCCACCGGCCAAAAGAAAUCCCCUAAAAGAAAACUGUGUUAUUUUUAUUAAUACUGAACAGCUACCCUAUUUAAUCCCCCCCCCUCUACCCCCAUGCACAUGUUGUAAGCCAGCAGGCUCAGUCUGGGGCCGCUCAGUCCAGUGCCGCAUGAAGUCUUCACCCGUGGAUGAACGCUUCUGUCACCCCAAGAAGCACGGCCCCACUGGGGACAGGCGCGGGGCCCAGCACGCGGCUCACACAGGAGGAUCCCCCAAGGCUGCCCCCGGCCGCUCCCAGCCCGUCCCCCCCCAGCCCAUCCCCGGGGCUCUGCCAGCUGCUGGCAGGAGGGAGACCUAAUGGCUCCUCGCCGUGGGGCAGCUCUGCCGAUUUCCUCCAGUAGCCCCUGGCUAAUAAUAUUUUCCACAGAGGUUCAUUCAUGGGAGCCUGACAAACCUCGUUACUAUGUACAAGGAUUUUUAUUUGUUAUUUAGUAGCUAGCCCUUUUAGGACAGCUGUGAGGUAGACACUGAAAAGGCAGCGGAUGAUUAAAAAGAACAAUUCCACAUACUUUCUCUUUCAUCUGAGUGUCUCAAACCACGUUAAGUCUCACAUUACUCCUCUGCAGGUAAUAAAUAUAAUUAGGGCUGAUUCCAAAACUUUAUUUGUAUUGAAAAGUAUCUCGCUCCACAGGGGCUCCAUUCAAAUCAGCAAAUCUCUGUGUGGAGUAGGAGGCUACUUAGUAGGAGAAUUUGGCCUCAAAUAAGGAAACUGAGAUGCAGACAGGCUUUGCAGCUUGCCCAGGCUGACACCGUUAGCCAACUGCAGCAACGGGAUGGGAAACAAAGAUCCACGCGCCUCAGCCCGCUGCAGCCCUCACGCUGCUGAAACACACUGUAUGUUUUUGCUGUUUUCCUCAGAAAGGCGUGAUUUUUUACACGUGGUUAAAGCACACUUCAUCCCUCUGCUCAUACUUGUGAGGGCCCCCAGCCUUUUCCCUUUGACUGCCCCUCAGGAAACGCUGCUCCUCCUCUGCCAUUCCACGCUCUGCUCCAGCCUGCUUGCCCUUGGCCCUGGGAGCUGCCUACAGACAGGAGCCGGUCAGGAGCUCCAGCUGUAGGGAGAUGAAGACGACCUUUCAUUCAAAGAGUCUGCAGUGGCUCCGGGACUACCGUAUUCCGAUUGUAUAUUAGCCCCAUCCAGCUCUCUAACCUUGUGUUCUUUUCCCAACUCAGCUCCACACAACAACUGCCCUCCUCUGUUCAUGUAUAUUUCCCUCUUAAUAUUUUGCCUCCUUUUUAAGCAUCUUCAGCACAAUGAGCACAUCCCCUCCAAGUCCAAGUCUGUGUCAUGCCCAGCAUGCUGAGGCUCCUCAGUCAGCUCUCUGCUACCAUGAGUAUGGGCCAGAGCAAUCACCAUCCAUAUCAGGAACUAUGCAACAGGACAUCAGCCAGACCUGAAGCAUAAUAAAAGGGAAAAAAAAAAACAAAACACAAGAGAACCCACCAACAAAGAAAUGUCGGGGGAGAAAACAAAGAUAAAUGAGCAACAGGGAGUGCUGGGAAGGAGAGAGGAAAUGGAAGGAAGAAAGAAAGGAAGCAGAGAUCAUUCCUCUGAAUGUUUCUGACAUAAACCUUUCUUUUCCCUUACCCUAGCCCUAGCUUACAGCACUUACUCUUACCCCACUGUAUUUGCUGCUAAAUGCCUAUCUCCUUCCCCCUAGUUUCCUUCAUCUCAUGUUUUCUGAGCUCCCAGCUUGGUGAGAGGAAGCAUGGUUGGGUCCAAAAAGGAGAAAAAAAUGUUACAGUUAUCGCUGUAUUAAUAUCAUAUUACUGCAUUAGUUUAUGGAUAUUAUUGUGUUAUUAUAGAUUUAUCUGUAAAAUUAUGUUCUCACAGUAAGUUCAACUACAAUUGCAAGAAGCAGCAAGCUAAACAAAUGGUUUGAGGUAAUCUUUGAAACCUUCCUUUGGUCAUCUUGAAGCCUUGCUUUGUAGAAAUUGCCAGGAUGUAGAACAAAUGCUGACUUCUUAUCAGAAACUGGAGAAAAUGAGGAAUUUGGAAUCAAUGAUGAAUCAGCCCCAGCUGAAACUAAGACAAUACAUAACCACAAACCUUGUUCAGCUCUUCUCAAGCUGAGAAUUCAGGAUGUAUGUCCAAGUACCUCCACACGAUGAGAAAAAUGAAGCCUCCCCCUGCCAGCCCUUCCCCUUGCAUUUCUCUUGCUCUGCUUCCUUUAAAGGAUGCCCAAACCAAAAAGGAUAAGGCAAAACAGGGCAAUUGGGGUUGAACUGAACCAAAAGGCUCUGACUCUCAUUUAGGUGAGGGAAACAACUCAUAUUAUAAACUCUUAUCUGAAUUUUUGUGCUUUAGCAACAAAAAAUCACUUUUGUGGUUCUCCAGCUCAAGAGGUGAACCAAAAAAUCAAUUAUCCACUCAGCUCAAGUUAGAAAUACCAUAACUCUGGAAUAUUACGUAGAUGGAAUCCACAGGUCUUUAUAUAUAAGCAAAUGGGCAGAAAAAAAAACCUUAAACUAAGGAGAUAAUUAAAAAAAAUAAUAAAAAUAAUCAAAUGAUAACACUUCAGCCUGGUGCCUUUGGCAGCUGCUGCAAUAUUGUAAGUACAGGAAGUGCUGGAAAAAAAAGUGAGCUUUUCAUGUUUUGUUGUUUCCACUGUAGGUUUUAAUAAUAGAGACCUACAAAGUCCAAGGAAAUGUAAGAUAUUCCACAGAAUGAUUUACUGGAAAAUUCUCAUAGAAAAUAUGCAAAACUCUGAAGAUCCUACAUGGAUUUUCUUUUUUAGGCAUAUAUCCAAAACAACUACAGCAUUAGGAACGAAACCCUAACAUUUCUAAGAAAGGGUUUUUGGAACAGGUUAAGAGAGAGAAAGGAGAACAGAGUGGGGUUCAUGCAUUUACUAUGAAGAAUAUCUUGCAAAUAAUGAGUGCUUAUUUCAGAGUAUGGAAAUGUUUAGCUACAAUGCAGUUUGGAUCAUAUGCUUUGGAACAGAUUUUUCCUUUCAGUGUGCAUGCCUAACUGCCAUUUCCAUUAACGGGAAUUAAGUACAUGUGUCAAGAGAAGAAGUUAACUCUUAGAAAUAUAACUAAUCUAUGCUUUUUUUAAAAGAAUGUAAAUGCCACAUCAGGCAUGUUUGGUGUUGGCAAAACGGAGCGCUGAAUAUAGGAUCGCAAAAUCUGAGAAGGAGAAGGCGGUCUGGAGGACUGAAAUUUCUGUGCUAUUUAGAGUUUUUCAAUUUACCGAAUUUCUUCAAGGAAAAGUAGAACCAUCUCACUUGCAAGCAAGAAGCCCUCAUUUAUCAGCUAUUUACCUGCAAUUUCAGUGGGGGUCUACCAUCUGCAACACUCCCCAUAAAGGAGGAUUGACACUGCCCUUAAGGACAAAUCUGAAUCUUCGUCAAAAAUUGCAAUUCAAACUUCUUUAAGGGCCACUGAAAUGAUCACAGAGUUUGUCAUCCCUUUAUUAAACUCAGCUCUGCUCUCUUUGACUCCACCCACUUCACAUCGGCCAAGGUAAAGCACGACUGUUUUGCAUGCAACGUGCCCUACCGGUCAAAGCCUGCAGCCACGCCUCCCCUGCCUGUCCUGCUCAGAGCCAUCAUGUCCAAGGGACUGCCCUGCCACUGCCAGCACCCAGCCCAUCUUCAGGCCCUGGGACAACAAUGCCAACAGGAACAUCCUUCCUCAGUGUCAUUUGGGAUGACUGUUACCAACAUGUAAAUGCCUGCCACAAUACACCAGAUGAUGAACUUCGCUCGUUUCAUACAGACAGCCAACUCCCAUCAGAAGGAAAUGACUCCCUUUUCCCCUGGUGUGUGCGCGGAGGAGUGGUUAGGAGAGAUCGAGUCUCUUUUGAACGAGCAACCUCAGUUUUAUAGCCAAACAUAAGCCUCUGAGCCCACAUACCCUAAUGACACAACUUUGAUCUAUUUAUAAAACCAGAUAGCAACUGCUGAACCUGACUCAAAGUGCACUGAAAUUGAGAUCUUUCUGCUCAACCCAGUGGGUCUUUCCGAGUCUUCCUCAAUAUAAUUCCUGCAGAGUUUAUCACCACAGAAUCAUCAUUUCCCCAGUAACAAUACCACACAAACUCAUCCACUCGCAAAGGCUAUGGGCAUUAUAUUUUGUCUUUGGGUUCCUAACCUGACUGCAUUUUCCACUAUAAUCUGCUCUUCCUAACCUAUGCACCAAGGAGGCUGGGUUUAAAACAGAGUUGCUCCCAUUGAUCGUCUGAUAUCAAACAAGCAUCAUACAAUUAACAGCUCAAGGGUGAUUUGUAAUAAUCCAGCACAGCUAGUUUUGUGUACUUUCUAAAGGCGUUCCUUUGUUUUGCGGUCCUGAGGUUUGCUCUGGUGUUUGCAAUCAAAAUUCUCCAAGCCCACAAGUACCUCUGCUAUCUACUUCUCUACACUGCCUUCCAGUGCCAUUAAGAUAAUUUCUUACAUUUUUCCCAUAGGCCUAUCAGCCACCUUCAGCUAACCAUCCUGAGCUAAUGUGUGUGGGCAUGCACAUACAGCUCAGUUCGUGGAUGCCCUCCAUUUUAGACACUCAUUUGGAUUAGAAGAAGAGAAUGUAAAAUACUUCCAAAUAAUUUUACCAUUUUCUAUUCACCUUGUAUUAGAAGGCCCAUGAAGAACUAGGUCUUCUGCAAGAAAUACCUUCUGUCAAAACCAGUUUACAGUUUAGACUAACUGUAAUUAAACAAAGAACACAGAAAAGAUAAAAUUCGUAUAUGCUGUAAAUUGUUUAUCUGCUUUAUUCCUUUUUAGUCUGUAUAACCACAAGUAACCACUAUACAGCAAAUGUUUCAAAAAACAUGGAUGCUGAAAUGUGCGGUUUUUAAAUUCAGAACAGAUUUGUAAAUACAUCCCCUUUCUAAUGUACCACACACGUUCGCUGCAUAACAUAUACAGUCUGUGAUAAGAUUAAUACAAAUUAGUGUUUAUUAAAUGCACUCUACUGAUAUUUAACUUGUUAUACAUGUCACUGGGAAGAUCAAGCUGUAAAUUAAGCUAUGAUUCUAAUGACAUUAAAUGCAUCUCUGGAAGGAGUCAUAAAAUGUUGCUAUCUUACACCUUGCACGCUGAAACAGCAGUCACUGAGGAUGUAGAAUUAUGUUACAUUUCUGAAGCAACAAAAGUGUACUAUAUGCAUUCAUUUAUUUUAAUGCAGCUCUGAUGCCGUUUUAUGAGUGAUUUUCCACUUUGGGGUAAAAGCAGAACGAAUGCCAUUUGGUUCUGUUGAAACAAAAAGCUAAGCUCCUGCUUCCAACACACAAACCCCAAUUCAGCCACUAUUACAGAGAAAUAAAUAUGCAACUAUGGUAUAAAACAGAUUGACAGCUUGUUGUUACUGCUAGUUCUACGGAGACUAACUCUUGCUCUUCUUGUUGCACGGGACAGCAAGAGGCUAGCAGCAUUGCUGGGUACCAUGGUAAGUGCCCGUGGGAAUGCUUUUACAGCUUGUUGCAGAAACAGAGCAAGUACUGCUAUGGUAUUUUGAAGUAUAAGCAUGGGAACAUUGGAAUACCUAGGGACAUUUUUUAAAAGACCUAAUGCCACCCAGGUACAGAGCGGACAACCUUCUAUUUCCACCUAGCUUAUAAGCAAGACAGAUUCUCAGCAGGUGGCAUUGAAGUCUAGUGAGAAUAUAAAACAAUCA
Numida meleagris (helmeted guineafowl) is the source of this 5970-nucleotide long non-coding RNA. RefSeq lists it as uncharacterized. The record is from RefSeq and is a predicted model, not a curated record. The transcript has 3 exons. Lineage: Eukaryota; Metazoa; Chordata; Aves; Galliformes; Numididae.